UCGGGUUGUAAAGCACUUUUGUCCGGAAAGAAAACUUCGGCCCUAAUACGGCGGGAGGAUGACGGUACCGGAAGAAUAAGCACCGGCUAACUACGUGCCAGCAGCGCGGUAAUCGUAGGGUGCGAGCGUUAAUCGGAAUUACUGGGCGUAAAGCGUGCGCAGGCGGUUCGUUAAGACAGAUGUGAAAUCCCCGGGCUUAACCUGGGAACUGCAUUUGUGACUGGCGAGCUAGAGUAUGGCAGAGGGGGGUAGAAUUCCACGUGUAGCAGUGAAAUGCGUAGAGAUGUGGAGGAAUACCGAUGGCGAAGGCAGCCCCCUGGGCCAAUACUGACGCUCAUGCACGAAAGCGUGGGGAGCAAACAGGAUUAGAUACCCUGGUAGUCCACGCCCUAAACGAUGUCAACUAGUUGUUGGGGAUUCAUUUCCUUAGUAACGUAGCUAACGCGUGAAGUUGACCGCCUGGGGAGUACGGUCGCAAGAUUAAAACUCAAAGGAAUUGACGGGGACCCGCACAAGCGGUGGAUGAAUGUGGAUUAAUUCGAUGCAACGCGAAAAACCUUACCUACCCUUGACAUGGUCGGAACCUGCUG
RNAcentral lists this ribosomal RNA (590 nucleotides) under uncultured Burkholderia sp. Its description in RNAcentral is "bacterial SSU rRNA". It matches the Rfam family "Bacterial small subunit ribosomal RNA", at positions 418 to 1002 of the family's 1533-position model. The record is from RNAcentral. Lineage: Bacteria; Pseudomonadati; Pseudomonadota; Betaproteobacteria; Burkholderiales; Burkholderiaceae.